Molecule: ribosomal RNA, 645 nt
Filed under: uncultured bacterium
Lineage: Bacteria
Description: bacterial SSU rRNA
Rfam family: Bacterial small subunit ribosomal RNA
Source: RNAcentral
UAGAGUUUGAUCAUGGCUCAGAACGAACGCUGGCGGCAGGCCUAACACAUGCAAGUCGAGCGCGCCUUCGGGUGAGCGGCGGACGGGUUAGUAACGCGUGGGAACGUGCCCUUUUCUACGGAAUAGCCUCUGGAAACGGAGAGUAAUACCGUAUACGCCCUUUGGGGGAAAGAUUUAUCGGAGAAGGAUCGGCCCGCGUUAGAUUAGGUAGUUGGUGGGGUAACGGCCUACCAAGCCUACGAUCUAUAGCUGGUUUUAGAGGAUGAUCAGCAACACUGGGACUGAGACACGGCCCAGACUCCUACGGGAGGCAGCAGUGGGGAAUCUUAGACAAUGGGGGCAACCCUGAUCUAGCCAUGCCGCGUGAGUGAUGAAGGCCUUAGGGUCGUAAAGCUCUUUCGCCUGUGAUGAUAAUGACAGUAGCAGGUAAAGAAACCCCGGCUAACUCCGUGCCAGCAGCCGCGGUAAUACGGAGGGGGUUAGCGUUGUUCGGAAUUACUGGGCGUAAAGCGCGCGUAGGCGGAUUAGAAAGUUGGGGGUGAAAUCCCGGGGCUCAACCUCGGAACUGCCUCCAAAACUGCUAGUCUAGAGUUCGAGAGAGGUGAGUGGAAUUCCGAGUGUAGAGGUGAAAUUCGUAGAUAUUCG